Long non-coding RNA from Silurus meridionalis, 524 nucleotides. RefSeq lists it as uncharacterized. The record is from RefSeq and is a predicted model, not a curated record. NCBI's taxonomy places the organism in Eukaryota, Metazoa, Chordata, Actinopteri, Siluriformes, Siluridae. The transcript has 3 exons.
CCGCAGGCCUAUAAAUCAGAACAAACUUUUACCUUUACAACAAAAACAAAACUCAUUUUACGUUUUAUUUUUAUUUUUAAAAAUGUAAAAUGAAAAACUAGUAAUAAAAGUAAGAAGUAAGAAAGACACCUUCAAUAACUCACCGUGCGUCCGCCAUGACAGGUUUGUUGACGCGCUCUGCCGUUACCAUGGUUACACACGCGCAGUGGCAACGUGCAGAAUCAGGUGGGAAAGACAUCACUACAGGGGAUAAUGCAAGGUUAAGGAAGUGGAGGAAUGGAAGGAAGGAAUAUGUAUGAUAAAGAGUUAAAGCUGAGCUGAAGGAUGACUGUUCCGUGAACUCUAACGUAUGGCGUAAGAGAGAGCAUGAAGAAGGCAGACCAGGGAGAGAUGUACAAUUCUCACAUCACAUUCAUAUUUAACGAGCCACCUUGUGAAGACCUCAUGCCCAGGAGACUUCUGAGCUGUUGGUGUAAGUGCGCUGAUGUCCUCACUUUCUCUGCUGAGCUCCUUAGACCAGUUUU